GAUAAACGCUGGCGGCGUGCCUAACACAUGCAAGUCGAACGCCCUUUUGCGCAAGUGAGAGGGAGUGGCGGACGGGUGAGUACCACGUGGGUACCUACCUUGAGGUGAGGAAUACCACCGAGAAAUCGGUGACAAGACCGCAUACGCUUGGCAACAAGCAAAGUCUCGCAAGAGACGCCACAAGAUGGGCCUGCGCCUGAUUAGCUAGUUGGUGAGGUAAUGGCNCACCAAGGCGACGAUCAGUAGCUGGUCUGAGAGGAUGAUCAGCCACACUGGGAUUGAGAACGGCCCAGACUCCGUAACGGGGGCGA
This 311-nucleotide ribosomal RNA is filed under the name uncultured bacterium. RNAcentral's name for it is "bacterial SSU rRNA". It matches the Rfam family "Bacterial small subunit ribosomal RNA", at positions 28 to 350 of the family's 1533-position model. The record is from RNAcentral.